Podarcis lilfordi (Lilford's wall lizard) is the source of this 96-nucleotide non-coding RNA. The record is from the annotation of a GenBank genome assembly. NCBI's taxonomy places the organism in Eukaryota, Metazoa, Chordata, Lepidosauria, Squamata, Lacertidae.
AUGCUCACUCCAGCAGCACAAAUACUAGAAUUGGAAUGAUACGAGAAGAUGAGCAUGGCCCCUACGCAAAUUUGUCCCACAUUUUAAAAAUUAAAU